GAUGAACGCUGGCGGCGUGCCUAAUACAUGCAAGUCGAGCGAACGGACGAGAAGCUUGCUUCUCUGAUGUUAGCGGCGGACGGGUGAGUAACACGUGGAUAACCUACCUAUAAGACUGGGAUAACUUCGGGAAACCGGAGCUACUACCGGAUAAUAUUUUGAACCGCAUGGUUCAAAAGUGAAAGACGGUCUUGCUGUCACUUAUAGAUGGAUCCGCGCUGCAUUAGCUAGCUGGUAAGGCAACGGGUUACCAAGGCAUCGAUGCAUAGCCUACCUGAGAGGGUGAUCGGCCACACUGGACCUGAGACACGGUCCAGACUCCUACGGGAGGCAGCAGUACGGAAUCUUCCGCAGUGGGCGAAAGCCUGACGGAGCAAUGCCGCGUGAGUGAUGAAGGUCUUCGCAUCGCAUAACUCCGUUAUUAGGGAAUAACACAUGUGUCAGUAACUGUGCACAUCUUGACGGUACCUAAUCACAAAGCCACGGCUAACUACGUGCCAACAGCCGCGGUAAUACCUACGUGGCAAGCGCUAUCAGGAGUUAUUGGGCGUAAAGUGCGCGUAGGCGGUUUUUUAGUCUGAUGUGAAAGCCCACGGCUCAACCGCGGUAUGGACACUGGAAACUGGAAAACUUGAGUGCAGAAGAGGAAAGUGUUAUUCCAUGUGUAGCGGUGAAAUGCGCAGAGAUAUGGAGGAACACCAGUGGCGAAGGCGACUUUCUGGUCUGUAACUGACGCUGAUGUGCGAAAGCGUGGGGAUCAAACAGGAUUAGAUACCCUGGUAGUCCACGCCGUAAACGAUGAGUGCUAAGUGUUAGGGGGUUUCCGCCCCUUAGUGCUGCGGCUAACGCAUUAAGCACUCCGCCUGGGGAGUACGACCGCAAGGUUGAAACUCAAGGGAAUUGACGGGGACCCGCACAAGCGGUGGAGCAUGUGGUUUAAUUCGAAGCAACGCGAAGAACCUUACCAAAUCUUGACAUCCUUUGACAACUCUAGAGAUAGAGCCUUCCCCUUCGGGGGACAAAGUGACAGGUGGUGCAUGGUUGUCGUCAGCUCGUGUCGUGAGAUGUUGGGUUAAGUCCCGCAACGAGCGCAACCCUUAAGCUUAGUUGCCAUCAUUAAGUUGGGCACUGUAAGAUGACUGCCGGUGACAAACCGGAGGAAGGUGGGGAGGAGGUCAAAUCAUCAUACCCCUUAUGAUUCGGGUAACACACGCGCUACAAUGCACAAUACAAAGCGGCAGGAGAACCGCGAGGUCAAGCAAAUCCCAUAAAGUUGUUCUCAGUUCGCAUUGUAGUCUGCAACUCGUCGACACGAAGAAGGAAUAGCUAGUAAUAGUAGAUCAGCAUAAUACGGCGAAUACGUUGCCGGGUGU
Molecule: ribosomal RNA, 1373 nt
Filed under: uncultured bacterium
Lineage: Bacteria
Description: bacterial SSU rRNA
Rfam family: Bacterial small subunit ribosomal RNA
Source: RNAcentral